UGAGGCGAACCGGGGGAACUGAAACAUCUAAGUACCCCGAGGAAAAGAAAUCAACCGAGAUUCCCCCAGUAGCGGCGAGCGAACGGGGAGCAGCCCAGAGCCUGAAUCAGUAUGUGUGUUAGUGGAAGCGUCUGGAAAGGCGCGCGAUACAGGGUGACAGCCCCGUACACAAAAAUGCACAUAUUGUGAGCUCGAUGAGUAGGGCGGGACACGUGGUAUCCUGUCUGAAUAUGGGGGGACCAUCCUCCAAGGCUAAAUACUCCUGACUGACCGAUAGUGAACCAGUACCGUGAGG
This 295-nucleotide ribosomal RNA is filed under the name Escherichia coli. Its description in RNAcentral is "partial 23S ribosomal RNA". It matches the Rfam family "Bacterial large subunit ribosomal RNA", at positions 175 to 508 of the family's 2925-position model. The record is from RNAcentral. Lineage: Bacteria; Pseudomonadati; Pseudomonadota; Gammaproteobacteria; Enterobacterales; Enterobacteriaceae.